CUCUCCUCGCUACUGGGAGGCAUUGGCCAUCCUUGGUGUUCCUAGGCUGGUAGCACCUUCGUUCCCCUCUCUGCCUCCCUUGUCACAUGGCAUGUCCCUCUGUGUCUCUAUGUGUCUUUGCUUCCAAACUCCCUUCCCUUAGAAGGGCCUGAUCAUCGGAUUAGGGGCCAUCCUAAGGAUCACGUGGUAACUAGAUCACAUCUUCAAAAGUCCUAUUUCUACACCAGGUCACAAUCACAGAUUCUGGAGGACAGGAUUUGGGAGGAGAAUCUGGUGGCUGCAAUAGCCAGUGUGUGCUUCCAGCUGAGAUUCUAGAACCUCAGACCCUUGGGACAGACCCUUGGGAUAGCCUACAGCAGACAGGUCUGGCUCCCUUGGCCAGUGGUGAGAUUCAGUCCACUGCCAUAGAAGCUGAAGAGUUUUGCUUGAAGGACACCCAGAGGUGGCACCCAUGUCUUCCCAUUUUAUAGCCGAAAACACCAGAUUCCAGGGAAGUUCUUUUCCUGAGUCCCGC
Molecule: long non-coding RNA, 514 nt
Filed under: Marmota monax (woodchuck)
Lineage: Eukaryota; Metazoa; Chordata; Mammalia; Rodentia; Sciuridae
Source: RNAcentral